RNAcentral lists this ribosomal RNA (253 nucleotides) under uncultured bacterium. RNAcentral describes it as "partial 16S ribosomal RNA". It matches the Rfam family "Bacterial small subunit ribosomal RNA", at positions 524 to 776 of the family's 1533-position model. The record is from RNAcentral.
UACGAAGGGGGCUAGCGUUGCUCGGAAUCACUGGGCGUAAAGCGCACGUAGGCGGCUUUCUAAGUCAGGGGUGAAAUCCUGGAGCUCAACUCCAGAACUGCCUUUGAUACUGGGAAGCUCGAGUCCGGAAGAGGUGAGUGGAACUCCGAGUGUAGAGGUGAAAUUCGUAGAUAUUCGCAAGAACACCAGUGGCGAAGGCGGCUCACUGGCCCGGAACUGACGCUGAGGUGCGAAAGCGUGGGGAGCAAACAGG